RNAcentral lists this ribosomal RNA (253 nucleotides) under uncultured bacterium. RNAcentral describes it as "partial 16S ribosomal RNA". It matches the Rfam family "Bacterial small subunit ribosomal RNA", at positions 524 to 776 of the family's 1533-position model. The record is from RNAcentral.
UACGUAGGGGCCAAGCGUUGUCCGGAAUUAUUGGGCGUAAAGAGCUCGUAGGCGGCCCAUCAAGUCGGAUGUGAAAUCUCAAGGCUCAACCUUGAAAUUGCAUCCGAUACUGAAGGGCUUGAGGCAGGUAGGGGAAAGCGGAAUUCCUGGUGUAGCGGUGAAAUGCGCAGAUAUCAGGAGGAACACCAAUAGCGAAGGCAGCUCGCUGGGACGUUACUGACGCUGAGACGCGAAAGCGUGGGGAGCAAACAGG